UACGAAGGGGGCUAGCGUUGCUCGGAAUCACUGGGCGUAAAGCGCACGUAGGCGGGUCUUUAAGUCAGGGGUGAAAUCCUGGAGCUCAACUCCAGAACUGCCUUUGAUACUGAGGAUCUUGAGUUCGGGAGAGGUGAGUGGAACUGCGAGUGUAGAGGUGAAAUUCGUAGAUAUUCGCAAGGACACCAGUGGCGAAGGCGGCUCACUGGCCCGAUACUGACGCUGAGGUGCGAAAGCGUGGGGAGCAAACAGG
This 253-nucleotide ribosomal RNA is filed under the name uncultured bacterium. Its description in RNAcentral is "partial 16S ribosomal RNA". It matches the Rfam family "Bacterial small subunit ribosomal RNA", at positions 524 to 776 of the family's 1533-position model. The record is from RNAcentral.